CCUACGGGUGGCAGCAGUGGGGAAUAUUGCACAAUGGGGGAUACACUGAUGCAGCAACGCCGCGUGAGGGAAGAAGGAUUUCGGUAUGUAAAGCUCUAUCAGCAGGGAAGAGAAUGACGGUACCUGACUAAGAAGCCCCGGAUAACUACGUGCCAGCAGCCGCGGGACUACGUAGGGGGCAAGCGGUAUCCGGAUUUACUGGGUGUAAAGGGGGCGUAGACGGCUGUACAAGUCUGAAGUGAAAGCCCGUGGCUCAACCGCGGAACUGCCUUGGAAACUGUAAGGCUGGAGUACGGGAGAGGCAGGCGGAAUUCCUGGUGUAGCGGUGAAAUGCGUAGAUAUUAGGAGGAACACCAGUGGCGAAGGCGGCCUGCUGGAAAGAAACUGACGUUGAGGCUCGAAAGCGUGGGGAGCAAACAGGAUUAGAUACCCGUGUAGUC
This 440-nucleotide ribosomal RNA is filed under the name uncultured bacterium. RNAcentral describes it as "partial 16S ribosomal RNA". It matches the Rfam family "Bacterial small subunit ribosomal RNA", at positions 338 to 795 of the family's 1533-position model. The record is from RNAcentral.